UCGGGAACCACUUCAGCGUGCCCCGCCCCUGCAGGUCCUAGCCCGUUUUCUCCCCUCAAAUCAAUAGUUUCCUUGUAUUUUAUGAUUGUAAGAAGAAAACUGCUUUCAAAAAGUGCCUGCUCCCUGCAAAACUGAUAUGUUGAAACCAAUACCCAGAGAUUAUAUGAUCUGCCUCAGGUCACAAAUCAGCAAAUAGAAGCAGCAGCAGCAGCAGCAACAGCAGCAGCAGCAGCACAGUAAUAGAAUCUGCGCCUUUGGAACAUCCAUGUGUCAACAUCAAGUUUGCUGCUGUAAAUGUUUGUCCGAAACCCAGGAAAGAGGUAGGGCAGGAG
Molecule: long non-coding RNA, 332 nt
Organism: Prionailurus viverrinus (fishing cat)
Lineage: Eukaryota; Metazoa; Chordata; Mammalia; Carnivora; Felidae
Exons: 3
Source: RefSeq, a predicted model, not a curated record